GAGUUUGCAUGUUGUAGCGGCGAUUUACUGCAGUUUAGGGCAGUAUAGUCAGGCGGUGCCUUUGCUUGAGCAAUCGAUCGAAAUUCCGAUUAUCGAAGAUGGCCCAGACCAAGCGCUUGCUAAAUUUUCCGGCUACAUGCAGUUAGGCGAUACUUACGCCAUGUUGGGUCAGCUCGAAAGCUCGAUACGAUGCUAUGCUUCAGGCCUGCAUGUUCAGAUGCAGACACUCGGUG
This 233-nucleotide unclassified non-coding RNA is filed under the name Hevea brasiliensis (rubber tree). Lineage: Eukaryota; Viridiplantae; Streptophyta; Magnoliopsida; Malpighiales; Euphorbiaceae. The record is from RNAcentral.